RNAcentral lists this ribosomal RNA (315 nucleotides) under Triticum aestivum (bread wheat). RNAcentral's name for it is "partial small subunit ribosomal RNA". Lineage: Eukaryota; Viridiplantae; Streptophyta; Magnoliopsida; Poales; Poaceae. The record is from RNAcentral.
AUGCUCACUGAGAAAGAUUUUAGAAUCCGGAGAUAUGUUGUCAUUGUUGAUAUGCACAGAGAGGAUUUUGCUUGCAUUUGUGGAAAGUUUGAAAAAGAUGGCGUUGUGUGCAGCCACAUACUUAGGGUAUUAACACACCUCAACUUGCUGGUGCUACCUGAUAAGUAUUACAUUGACAGAUGGAGAGCCAAGCAAAGAAAAGACAUUAGAAAACUCAGGUACGGCGUCCCCGAGGAGUUAACAGCAGGGGACCAUCACCUUAGAUACAUGUUGCUGUCUAGCAGACUGAAUGAAAUGGCUUCGGAUGCUGCGUAA